Molecule: long non-coding RNA, 3230 nt
Filed under: Sus scrofa (pig)
Lineage: Eukaryota; Metazoa; Chordata; Mammalia; Artiodactyla; Suidae
Description: lncRNA (ENSSSCG00060033343.1)
Source: RNAcentral
GAGCUUUCCACCUUCCUGCGAUCAUCAAGCCUCCCCAGCUAAGUUCCCUGAGGCCCACGGUGAGUCCUUCAGUGGGUCGCCGUGAUCCGGCCCAGCAGACCCGCCCCCCUGGGCGCCCUGAACUGCAACAUUGUUGCAACCACGGGGAAAGGCGUCCCCAGGCGGCCACCUGCUCCUCUGAGAUACGAGAGGAGGGCGUCUGAAAGCCCUGUGGUUGGACCGAAAGAGGACACGGCCCCCAAACAAGGGAGCAGAUGAGCCAGAGAAGAACCUGGAGAAAGUGAGCGUCAGUGGCCUCCAAAGCCACGGACCCCUGGCCGCGGGUCCCCGCGAAAGCGGGCUUCCCUUCCCAGACGUCCAAGGGCCUGGUUUCUGCUUCCCCAGGCCGGUUCGGCUGCUGGAGGUACGUGGGGGCCCAGCGUGCGGUCACAGCCUUGCUCAGAGGAGUGUCAAUGCGGCGACAGCUUUCUCCUCGGAAUCCUCAGCAUAUGGAAGUUCCCAGACCAGGGAUCGAAUCCAAGACAGAGCAGUGACCUGAGAAAUUGGAGGUCGAUGCUGAGGAUGGAGCCUGUUCUCAGCAGUGACCUGAGAGACAACGUUGGAUCCUUAACCUACUGCCACAGCAGGAACCCCUACGUCCACCUGAAUUUUAAUAGAAUGUUCUUUUUUCCUCUCGGCUGUUCUUACUACAUCCACAGCGUGCUCUGCUGUUGGGGGACAGCCAAAAAGGUGUGGAAUUAUAAAGGGAAAAAAAUAAACUCUUGCUUUCCUGCCAAAUAGCAGAAAAAUAGAAUUUCUGGAGUUAGGAGCACAUGGUAGGUUACUAGAAAGUAGCACAUUUGACUUAGUGUUUCUUGGACGAUGAGAGUCAGUGAGGCUGAUGGUGUCACAGGCAGCGCAUGCUAAUAGAUGUGUCUAAAGCAAUAGUCUGAAGUUACAAUUUGGAAUUAUCCACGUUUAAGAGAAACAGCAUUAGUCGCAAAAGUUCUGACUUUGUUCAUGGCAAAAUAACUGUGCAUUUUCCCUAAAACUACCAGUGUUGAAUAAGAUAUUGUGAAAUUUAAAGAACUGAGCAUAGAAAUAAUUUUACAGGAGUUCUUUCUCCUUAUUAGCAUAGGCAAGUUUGCCACACUACACACUUAAAAUGAGAGUGAUUCUAAAACUUUGUAAAUGGAACCCUAAUAAAAACUCUCUCUCUCUCACACACAUACACACACACACACACACACACACACACACACACACACACACACACACACACAUAUAUACACAUAUAUAUAUAUAUUCGUUAAACACUGAGCCACGAGGGGAACUCCUAAAAACUCUAAAGAUUCUACUCUUUGGCUCCCAUCGUGGCGCAGCGGAAAGGAAUUGGACUAGGAACCAUGAGGUUGCAGGUUUGAUCCCUCCCCUUGCUCAGUGGGUUAAAGAUCUGGUGUUGCCGUGGCUGUGGUGUCGGUCGAAGGUCGCAGAUACGGCUCGAAUCUGGCGCUGCUGUUGCUGUGGCUGUGGUGUAGGCCAGAGGCUAUAGCUCUGAUUAGACCCCUCACCUGGGAACCUCCAUGCUGCCGAUGCGGCCCUGAAAAGACAAAACAACAACAACAAAAAGGUUAUACUCUUCACCUUCACCAGCUCGUAGGCUCUCAGUCAGCCCGUCCUUCCCAGCGUUCAUUCCCUUUGCUCCAGCCUGGUCCAAAAGGGCUCUGAGGGCAUUUGCUUGGAAAGGAAAGCAGCUUUUUUAAAAUUAAAAGUCCGAGGUGAUGUUUAGCCUUCUUCCUCAGUCCGCUGUCACUGGAAAAAAAAUGGUUCUUAAAACCAUAAACCAGCCACAUUAUGACAUAAUUUUAGUUGUAGGAUCACUAAGUACCUAUGUAGCAUUUCUGUAAGGUUAUUUCCAUUGAAGAAAUAUAUAUUUAAGCAGAUAAGAUGGCAGCACCCUUUUCUCGUAGAGUUUAUUUCCAAUCCCAGGUAGGUUCAGUGAUGGUUGGGUUUGUUAGAAUGGUCAUCAGAAGGUAGAAAGUCCAAGAACGCGCUGCAGAGAAGACGGAUGAAAGGUUGGGGGAUGUCCAGCCUGGGAAAGUGCAGCUUAAAGGGACCACGACGCCACCCUUAGCGCCUGGAGGACUGUCCGCAGGGAAGCCACCAACUCCCACCUUCCAACAGCUGGGGGUUCAGACCCUAAACCCUCACCACAGGAGAAUGGGGAGACACUACAGGUUUCCCCAGGAGAAGCCUAAGUGUGGACAGUGUGAUCUCAGGUCUGCCAAUGGACGUGGACACGUGGUUGGGUUUCUGGAGAAAACCACCAGCAGAGGGGGCAGCAGGCUUCCCACACAGGUGGGAGGGGCUGGCAUCCUCAAGGCCCCCGGGUUGUCUCAUUGGCUUGUACCUCCCUUUGAUUCUGUGAGCGCUGCCAAGAUGUUUGCCAAGUGCACAAUCUUAAAUAUAAUGGUAGGAUAUGAGUUGCAGCCCCGGGGAAAUCAAUUCAACAGUCUGUGGUCGUCUAUAGGGAAAGAAUCUGGAAAAGACUGGAUAUUUGUGUGUGCAUCGCUGAUUCCCGGUGCUCUACACCGGAAACUACACAACAUUGGAAGUCACCUACACUCCAGGAAGAUGUAUUUAAAAAGUUAUGGAUACUUAAUCACUUUUUAAAAGCUAUUAUGAAUUAUGCAGUAACAAAAGAUAUGCAACAACAUCUUCACUUAAGUUAAUUUUAAGCACAUAUUAGUGAAGGCUGCAGGUUCCAAAGGCUGACAAAAGUGACUGUGAAUGGCAGCUGAUUGUGUUACCUGAUCUCAAGUUUGCAUUUAUAAUGUGGGGUUAAGGAUGACAAUUCGAAUAAGUGACGGUGAGAUUUAAGUAUAUGUAGAGCACAAAACAGAGUGGCUUUUAAUCACUAGACUUGAUAAGUGGAAUCUAUUAUUAUGAAACAUUGUGUUAGUACAGAUUUUGCAGUAAUAAUGGUCUUUUGUACGAGACCCUUUGUGUACUGCACUCCAGGAAACCACCCACAAAGCACCAUCUACCUGCUGAGUGGGUGUUACACUAAGUUUAGGCUGUCUAACUCAGAAGAAAAUAAAACAUCCUGGUUGGGUAAUAAAUGUAAAUAAAACCCCCCCAAAAUGCACCUUUACUAAACAUGGGCAGUCUUUCCUCAGUAACUGAGUUUCUUUGUCUUCAGCCCAUUAUUUUCUGCUUUCCUUUCAGAAAACAAUAAAUGCAUUGCAGUG